GGCGGACGGGUGAGUAACGCGUGAGCAAUCUGCCUUUAGGUGGGGGACAACAGCCGGAAACGGCUGCUAAUACCGCAUAAUGCAGCGAAGUCGCAUGGCUUUGCUGCCAAAGGAGCAAUCCGCCUUUAGAUGAGCUCGCGUCCCAUUAGAUAGUUGGCGGGGUAACGGCCCACCAAGUCGACGAUGGGUAGCCGGACUGAGAGGUUGAACGGCCACAUUGGGACUGAGACACGGCCCAGACUCCUACGGGAGGCAGCAGUGGGGAAUAUUGCGCAAUGGGGGAAACCCUGACGCAGCAACGCCGCGUGAUUGAAGAAGGCCUUCGGGUUGUAAAGAUCUUUAAUUCGGGACGAAUAAAUGACGGUACCGAAAGAAUAAGCUCCGGCUAACUACGUGCCAGCAGCCGCGGUAAUACGUAGGGAGCGAGCGUUAUCCGGAUUUACUGGGUGUA
This 451-nucleotide ribosomal RNA is filed under the name uncultured bacterium. RNAcentral describes it as "bacterial SSU rRNA". It matches the Rfam family "Bacterial small subunit ribosomal RNA", at positions 97 to 562 of the family's 1533-position model. The record is from RNAcentral.